RNAcentral lists this unclassified non-coding RNA (343 nucleotides) under soil metagenome. Its description in RNAcentral is "partial contains 5.8S ribosomal RNA, internal transcribed spacer 2, and large subunit ribosomal RNA". The stretch from base 1 to 120 matches the Rfam family "5.8S ribosomal RNA", at positions 35 to 154 of the family's 154-position model. The record is from RNAcentral.
GAUGAAGAACGUAGCGAAAUGCGAUAAGUAAUGUGAAUUGCAGAAUUCAGUGAAUCAUCGAAUCUUUGAACGCACAUUGCGCCCGCUAGUAUUCUGGCGGGCAUGCCUGUCCGAGCGUCAUUUCAACCCUCAAGCCCCCGGGCUUGGUGUUGGGGAUCGGCGAGCCUCCGCGCCCGCCGUCCCCUAAAUCUAGUGGCGGUCUCGCUGUAGCUUCCUCUGCGUAGUAGCACACCUCGCACUGGGAAACAGCGCGGCCACGCCGUUAAACCCCCAACUUCUGAACGUUUGACCUCGGAUCAGGUAGGAAUACCCGCUGAACUUAAGCAUAUCAAUAAUCGGAGGA